This 492-nucleotide ribosomal RNA is filed under the name uncultured bacterium. RNAcentral describes it as "partial 16S ribosomal RNA". It matches the Rfam family "Bacterial small subunit ribosomal RNA", at positions 29 to 507 of the family's 1533-position model. The record is from RNAcentral.
AGUGAACGCUGGCGGUAGGCCUAACACAUGCAAGUCGAACGGCAGCACAGUAAGAGCCUGCUCUUACGGGUGGCGAGUGGCGGACGGGUGAGGAAUACAUCGGAAUCUACUUUUUCGUGGGGGAUCACGUAGGGAAACUUACGCUAAUACCGCAUACGACCUACGGGUGAAAGCAGUGGAACUUCGGACCUUGCGCGAUUGAAUGAGCCGAUGUCGGAUUAGCUAGUUGGCGGGGUAAUGGCCCACCAAGGCGACGAUCCGUAGCUGGUGUGAGAGGAUGAUCAGCCGCACUGGAACUGAGACACGGUCCAGACUCCUACGGGAGGCAGCAGUGGGGAAUAUUGGACAAUGGGCGCAAGCCUGGUCCAGCCAUACCGCGUGGGUGAAGAAGGCCUUCGGGUUGUAAAGCCCUUUUGUUGGGAAAGAAAAGCAGCAGGUUAAUACCCCGCUGUUCUGACGGUACCCAAAGAAUAAGCACCGGCUAACUUCGUG